UACGAAGGGGGCUAGCGUUGCUCGGAAUCACUGGGCGUAAAGCGUACGUAGGCGGAUUGUUAAGUCAGGGGUGAAAUCCUGGAGCUCAACUCCAGAACUGCCUUUGAUACUGGCGAUCUCGAGUCCGGGAGAGGUGAGUGGAACUGCGAGUGUAGAGGUGAAAUUCGUAGAUAUCUGGAGGAAUACCGGUGGCGAAGGCGGCAUCCUGGACCGGCAUUGACGCUGAGGAGCGAAAGCCAGGGGAGCAAACGGG
Molecule: ribosomal RNA, 253 nt
Filed under: uncultured bacterium
Lineage: Bacteria
Description: partial 16S ribosomal RNA
Rfam family: Bacterial small subunit ribosomal RNA
Source: RNAcentral